UACUUCAGUGCUCAAACGCAUUCAGAUUGUGUCAUUAUUUCAAACUAUUCAGCAAACCUGUGCCAAUCUUUAUCCUGUCCUGCCCGCUUGGUGCCAUGUGGCAGACGGUUCAGACUACUCAGUGACUGCCACUGCCACUCAGGACCAAGGCUUAACUCACAGGCAUACACUAGCACACACAUUUUUUUAAAAAAAAUAUCUCUCCUUACUGAUAAGCAGGGGUGGGAAGUCGUCCUUUUCUCUCCUCCAGCAGGGGCUGAUGGCUACACCUGUCUUUUUUUCGCUCCGGGGGCAAGUUUGUUUAUUUUUGUUUUUUGUGUACAGAGAUGCCCUAUAGAAUGCAGCUCAGUUUGGGGCAUUCCACUCAACAGCUCCUUUCCCCCCAGUUUUUCCAUGCCCGCCUCCCCUUUCUCUCUGUGGCAGCCUCGCUCCGCACUGCCCCCCUCGCAGCUCCAAUCCCUGGAAGUUUGGAACUAAUGAACUGACUGCUGAGCUGCCGCCACGGAGCUUGGUCCCAAACUAUACUGUACUUCACACUCGAUUUAUUCUCCAGAUGGCAAGACUACGCAGCCCUGCCGGGAGGGGCCACCUCUUCCACUGAAGUGUGAAAGUGGACGGAUGUUGUUUUCGGAUCCUCUGUGAUCAGCUCCGAGCUCCCUCAAACCACCCGGCCCUGUAUGUAGAGAAUAAAUCCCCCUGCUAACAGGCA
This is a long non-coding RNA of Cyprinus carpio (common carp), 709 nucleotides long. NCBI's taxonomy places the organism in Eukaryota, Metazoa, Chordata, Actinopteri, Cypriniformes, Cyprinidae. The record is from Ensembl.